GUGCUCGAGUGGCGAACGGGUGAGUAACACGUGAGUAACCUGCCCUUGACUUUGGGAUAACUUCAGGAAACUGGGGCUAAUACCGGAUAGGAGCUCCUGCUGCAUGGUGGGGGUUGGAAAGUUUCGGCGGUUGGGGAUGGACUCGCGGCUUAUCAGCUUGUUGGUGGGGUAGUGGCUUACCAAGGCUUUGACGGGUAGCCGGCCUGAGAGGGUGACCGGCCACAUUGGGACUGAGAUACGGCCCAGACUCCUACGGGAGGCAGCAGUGGGGAAUAUUGCACAAUGGGCGGAAGCCUGAUGCAGCAACGCCGCGUGCGGGAUGACGGCCUUCGGGUUGUAAACCGCUUUCGCCUGUGACGAAGCGUGAGUGACGGUAAUGGGUAAAGAAGCACCGGCUAACUACGUGCCAGCAGCCGCGGUGAUACGUAGGGUGCGAGCGUUGUCCGGAUUUAUUGGGCGUAAAGGGCUCGUAGGUGGUUGAUCGCGUCGGAAGUGUAAUCUUGGGGCUUAACCCUGAGCGUGCUUUCGAUACGGGUUGACUUGAGGAAGGUAGGGGAGAAUGGAAUUCCUGGUGGAGCGGUGGAAUGCGCAGAUAUCAGGAGGAACACCAGUGGCGAAGGCGGUUCUCUGGGCCUUUCCUGACGCUGAGGAGCGAAAGCGUGGGGAGCGAACAGGCUUAGAUACCCUGGUAGUCCACGCUGUAAACGGUGGGUACUAGGUGUGGGGUCCAUUCCACGGGUUCCGUGCCGUAGCUAACGCUUUAAGUACCCCGCCUGGGGAGUACGGCCGCAAGGCUAAAACUCAAAGGAAUUGACGGGGCCCCGCACAAGCGGCGGAGCAUGCGGAUUAAUUCGAUGCAACGCGUAGAACCUUACCUGGGUUUGACAUGGAUCGGGAGCGCUCAGAGAUGGUGUGCCUCUUUUGGG
This 926-nucleotide ribosomal RNA is filed under the name uncultured bacterium. RNAcentral's name for it is "bacterial SSU rRNA". It matches the Rfam family "Bacterial small subunit ribosomal RNA", at positions 87 to 1025 of the family's 1533-position model. The record is from RNAcentral.